Molecule: unclassified non-coding RNA, 231 nt
Filed under: plant metagenome
Description: partial contains small subunit ribosomal RNA, internal transcribed spacer 1, and 5.8S ribosomal RNA
Rfam family: Eukaryotic small subunit ribosomal RNA (bases 1-54)
Source: RNAcentral
GGUAGUAAAAGUCGUAACAAGGUCUCCGUUGGUGAACCAGCGGAGGGAUCAUUACUGGAAUCGCAAGAUCCCACAACCCUGUGAACCUACCGAAACGUUGCCUCGGCGGGUGCCCGGCCUCUGCGCCGGGCGCUGCGCCCGCCGGCGGCCCCCUACUCUGUCUCUGCAGCGUGGCAUCUCAGAGUCCCAGAAAACAAGUCAAAACUUUCAACAACGGAUCUCUUGGCUCUA